This 555-nucleotide long non-coding RNA is filed under the name Homo sapiens (human). Its description in RNAcentral is "HSALNT0211358". The record is from RNAcentral. Lineage: Eukaryota; Metazoa; Chordata; Mammalia; Primates; Hominidae.
AACAGCAGAAAGGAAAGUAAAGAAUCAUAUCUUUGGAGCAAGAGGAAGAAGCCAUCUCUGCUUUGCAGCUUGGGUCAAAGCACGUCACCUCUCUGGGCUGCAGCUGUUUCAUUUGUAAAAGGGAAAGUCUAGGCUUGGUGAUCUCCAGGUCUCCUUCCAGCACUGAGGUCCUGUGGCUCUGUGCUUCCCCAAGGCACUGUCCCUCAAACCUAAUUACAUGGUUUGCCUGUAAAAGGAGCGCCUUGAUCAGGGCAGAAACAAUGAGGAGCAGCCAUUGUCAUUCAAAUCCUGGAACUGAGCUUUCUCUCAAGAUCACAGGGGAAGCACAGAGUCCUCUACUUCAGGUCCCUCCAGUCACAGGAACCCAUAUUUCAGCCUGGAUGCAUGGUGGCUUCACUGCAAGGACCCUGGAGGACCCUGGGACUCCACAACAGCACAUCAUGUGCCAUCUGGGACAGGAAGGCUGCUGGGCACUACAGCCAACCCCUCCUUCUCUCAGGGGCCUCGAGACCACUUGUCCUCACAGGCCAGUGUCCACAGCUUUCUCCUCAGCUU